RNAcentral lists this ribosomal RNA (305 nucleotides) under uncultured bacterium. RNAcentral describes it as "bacterial SSU rRNA". It matches the Rfam family "Bacterial small subunit ribosomal RNA", at positions 36 to 342 of the family's 1533-position model. The record is from RNAcentral.
CUGGCGGCGUGCUUAACACAUGCAAGUCGAGCGGUAAGGCCCUUUCGGGGGUACACGAGCGGCGAACGGGUGAGUAACACGUGGGUGACCUGCCCUCAGCUCUGGGAUAAGCCUGGGAAAACCGGGUCUAAUACUGGAUAUGACUCCAUGACGCAUGUUGUGGGGUGGAAAGCCUUGUGCGGCUGAGGAUGGGCCCGCGGCCUAUCAGCUUGUUGGUGGGGUNAUGGCCACCAAGGCGACGACGGUAGCCGGCCUGAGAGGGCGACCGGCCACACUGGGACUGAGACACGGCCCAGGACUCCUAC